GUUGGAGAUGCAUCCCUUGUGGAGUUUUCCUUGUGAGCCUAGAUCUUUAGAGACAGAUACCUCUGCACAUGCUGCCAAUCUAUCUCUAUGGGCUGCUCAAAAGAAGUGUCAAAAGCAGUGUGGCCAGCAGGUCCAGGGAGGUGAUCCUGCCCCUCAGUUCUGUAUGGGUGAGACCCUGUAUGGAGCACAGCACCCAGAUGUGGAGUUCUCAGUACAGAAAAGACAUGGACCUUUGGAACACUCCCGAGGAGGGCCACAAAAAUGACCCAAGUAUGGGAUAAGACAGAGGACUCCUGGACCCCAUGACUGAUUUGUCUCAGAGUGGUAAACAAGAAGAGUGUCCAUGAUGAGCACCAAGUAAAGGUAUGGAGACAAAACGUUAUUUUCAUUGUGUGAUGGGAACAAAUCUCAUGAGCUGCCCAAUAGGGACUCAUGUCUUGCACCACAGCAAAUACAGGAAGAAAACACUCUCUUUUGUUUAAAAAUUUCAGUAUCUCCCCUUAAUCGAAGAAUCCACAGCUUCUGUGUUCCUAUUUCUUUUUGUUAUCUAUCUCUUCCUUUUUGGGAAGAUUGACUUAUUUUGUAACAUACACUCCUUAUAAUUCAAAUAAUAGUAGCUAAGCUUACUGACAGAUGGUACAUUCAUUAUUUAAAGAUCCUUAGCCCCAGAGCCACCAGAAAAACCAAAGCUGAAGAACUAAUAUUUUUACUUGCACCAGCAAAGUGAAGGGCUAAUGCAUUCCCUACUGAGAAAGAAAUUGCUUGUUGCUUUGGGCUUAUUUUAAUUUCUGUCUUUUCCAUGUGUGUUUUUACUUCCAUAUCUCUGGUGUCUUACCUACCACGAGGAGUAUGUCAAAAACUUGCCUUAACUCCUAACUGAUUAACAGAAGCAGAAUUUCCACUAGGCUUUUUUAGCUGGUGCAGCAUGGGUGCUGUGCCUUAGCCUGUUUCCAAAUGGACAGGGAAUCCCAAGGGAAAUGAGGAGGUUUUGAUCAGCAGGGAGGGGUUCAGCAUCAGUUCAGAGAGUUUUCCUGGAGUGAAGAAUAAGCAGGCUGAGGUGAAAAUGUGCCUUCAGCUCACCAAUGGCAGCAGACAUCCAGUCCUGCCCUACCAAACUUGUUUGGUGGUCUAUAGCUGCAGGGCCAUUACAGUAGUGGGUUUGUUCUUGCACACCUCCCUGCUUGCUGCUUGCUUCGAAGGAGAAACUACUCACAUUACAGCUAUCAGCCUAGUGCUACACAGACAGUCAAGCCUGUCCAUACAUCCAUAGUGCUCAGCCAGCGGUAAUCAAAGCUGCACAUGGUUCUUUGCUACUUCACUCCUCCAUCACAGACCAAGCUGGGCUUG
Long non-coding RNA from Lagopus muta (rock ptarmigan), 1347 nucleotides. RefSeq lists it as uncharacterized. The record is from RefSeq and is a predicted model, not a curated record. NCBI's taxonomy places the organism in Eukaryota, Metazoa, Chordata, Aves, Galliformes, Phasianidae. The transcript has 3 exons.